This 75-nucleotide transfer RNA is filed under the name Methylocystis sp. B8. Its description in RNAcentral is "tRNA-Gly". It matches the Rfam family "tRNA". From Rfam's summary of the family: Transfer RNA (tRNA) molecules are approximately 80 nucleotides in length. Their secondary structure includes four short double-helical elements and three loops (D, anti-codon, and T loops). Lineage: Bacteria; Pseudomonadati; Pseudomonadota; Alphaproteobacteria; Hyphomicrobiales; Methylocystaceae. The record is from RNAcentral. RNAcentral also lists the same sequence under 4 other names.
GCGGGCGUAGUUCAGGGGUAGAACGUCAGCUUCCCAAGCUGAAUGUCGUGGGUUCGAUUCCCAUCGCCCGCUCCA